Molecule: long non-coding RNA, 2759 nt
Organism: Papaver somniferum (opium poppy)
Lineage: Eukaryota; Viridiplantae; Streptophyta; Magnoliopsida; Ranunculales; Papaveraceae
Exons: 4
Source: RefSeq, a predicted model, not a curated record
UUCGGAUGAAAACCCUAACACACUCACCGCAUCUUCUUCUCUUUCGACUGAAACCCUAACACACUAAAUCGAAGUAGAGUUAUUACUCUCGAUCUACUUUUCUUCAUAUAUCUUUACAAUUUCAUGAAAUCAUUAUUGUUUUCUCUGAAUAAUUUCAUGAAGUUGUUUGGAGAUGAAAAGCCAUGAAAAUCUCUUUAGAAAAAGUGGAAUCCCCAACUUCAAAACCAAAUCUCGAGUUUUCAGUAUAAACAGCAAAUCAACAAAACCCAUCAAAACCUAGGAUUUAUGUUUUCCAGCUCCUACACAUUCAGAUAAGUGAAUCUAAUAACUUAGAUUUAUGUUUCUGUUACUUUUUUAAAUCGAUUAUGAGUUGUUUUUUGAGAUAAUAAUUAUAAUUUUUUUUGUUUAAUUUCAUCAGGUCUUUUGAGAAGAAUGACAAGAGGAGAAACCCUAAAUUCAUCAGCAAGAACAAAUGAAUUCCUUUCUUUUAGUUUCAAAUUAAAAAUGGGUUAAACCCUAGCCUUUCACAUCUGUUACUGCUUCGAUUUUUUGUGGGAUCUCACAGAGAAAAACCCUGAUAUUUGUAAAUCCUUUGUUUCUUAAUAACUCUGGGGUUUAUUUACUCGUCUCCGGUUUUUUUUUUCUUCUUUUUUUGUUGUUUGAUUCUGUGUUUGUGUUUUUUUUUUUUUUGAGAUUUUUCUUUGAGAUUGAAAUUUUAUGCUCAUGAAAGAUUUGUGGUUUGGUUAUGUGAUUGAACUAAUUAUGAAAUUCGGCUGUGAUGAUCAUUACACAGCUUUUAUACCAGUUCUGCUUCAGAAAUUUCUUGGUAGAGAGAGCUGAUAGUUUUGUGUUUAUUUUUUUAUAGAUGUGUGUAUGCGACAUUUAUAAAGAUUAAUGAUCAGUGUGUUAAUUGGGAUGCCUAUGAUGAUGUUAUCCAAUUAGUGGUGUGGUGGAACUGAGACCCUGUUUACAGGGAGAACCCCUUGGAGAAACCAUAUUUCCACGACAAUAAUGGAUCUUACUGAGGCACUAUGGCAUUUUUCACCCUGAUUUGGCCUGGCCUGUAGUACUUUUUUUUUUUGCUGAGUUUAUACUACAUCUUGGUAAUUGUUUAAUUUGCUCUUGUAGCUUGUUUAGAGUUUCAUUUUUCAACUUUUCUUGGUGUUCUGCUAAAAGGUUUCCGAUUUAUGUACCUGAUUUUGAGCUUAAUGACUUCCUCAAUGACACCUUUCUUGUGAGCUGGAUGGUUGAAGUUUUUCGUAAUAUUUUGCCAUUUGGUUACAGAGCUUGUUACCAUCUCCUUGCUUUCUGUUAUUCUUUUUCUUUAUGCGUAAUUGCUUAGUUGUGGUCUUCUAAUUUACGCAGGCUAAGUUAUCAUUUCUGGUAUACCUUAUCGCUAAAAACUAAUCAACCAAGUCUGCUGUAUUGUUGGAUUGUCGGCUUUUAAAUUUACAAACAUUUGAUUUCCUGUUGCAUUGAUUUUCCUUUGCAUGUUGUUUUACCUUAGCUAUAUUAGCUGUUAUCUAAUGAGAAUUGUGGUUGAUAUUUUCCCUAGAGUCUAUCCAAUGCGUGCAACUUGUCCAUGGUGUUCUACCCAUGUGGAAGCAUACUGACUUUUCCCUGCUCACUUUGGAAGGCGUUAAACAAUGGCAUAUGUGCCAAAAAUGAGUUUCACCUACUGGGACAUAUAUAUGUAAAUACGCUCUUUAACCUUGUUCAGCGAGAUAAAGACAUUUAAUUUUGACAUUGUACAGAUGAAUCCUUGAAGCUAACUCAUGAUGGAUCUGGGUUUCUAUCUAUAAAAAUGGUUGUCAGUUCUGAAUCACUUUCAAGGCUAUGCACCAUCUUGAUGGGUGGGUUCUUUCAUCUUUUCUGUUUUUAAUGUUUACCAAUGCUAUUAUUUAGCCGAAGUUUAAUGUUUACGAAUUCUAUUAUUUAGCCGAAGAAAUUGACUCUCGCUUUUUCACCCUGGACAAUUAUUCAAAUAAGUAUAUAGAUGCCUGGAGUUGGAGGAGUUCAUAUGGAAAAUGCGGGUCCUGGAGUUGGAGAAGCAGCUUAUAUGCAAAGUGCAAGUCCUGGAGUUGUAGGAGCUUAUAUGCAAAAUGCAAGUCCUGGAAUUGUUGGAGUUUCUAUGCAGAAUGCAAGUCAUGGAGCUGGAGGGGCUUAUAUGCAAAAUUGAAGUUUCAGUAAACCAGGAACUGUCGUAGAUAUUACUAAGAUACAUUUCCAUUUAACAUGUGUAAGUCAUGGCUUUGAAAAUGCAAGUCCUGGAAUUGUUGGAGUUUCUAUGCAGAAUGCAAGUCCUGGAGCUGGAGGGGCUUGUAUGCAAAAUUGAAGUUUCAGUAAACCAGGAACUGUGUUAGACAUUACUAAGUUAAUCUCGGAAAGCAUCAGCGCAAGGAUGAGGGUACCACAGGAAAUGAUGACUCGACCCCGUUCAGACUGUGGAAAACACAGUUCAGUAGAUAUUGCUGCAGGAAAAGUCUGCAUCUGCAGUAAUAUGUCAGCUGAAAACUCACUACGCAAUGUGGGCAUCAAAUCUACCCUUAACCAAGGAUAUGCUAGAUAUUGUAGUUUACUCACGGUCAUGUGGAUGAUAAUAACCUUAACAGGCUUUUACCAGAGUUCUUAGAGUUAGAAAAGAUAAGAAGAGCUGCAUAAGGUAAUGUUGAUUUACAGCUUGCAUUAAUUGGCAGAUGAAGUCCUCUUUUCUGUCGCUCUAUACUGGAUGGUAAUAAAGCAGUUCAAUUUAUUUAUUU